GCCGAGGUGGUGGAAUGGUAGACACCGGGGACUUAAAAUCCCCUGGUCGCAAGGCCGUGUGAGUUCGAAUCUCAUCCUCGGCA
This 83-nucleotide transfer RNA is filed under the name Spirochaetaceae bacterium. Its description in RNAcentral is "tRNA-Leu". It matches the Rfam family "tRNA". Rfam says of the family: Transfer RNA (tRNA) molecules are approximately 80 nucleotides in length. Their secondary structure includes four short double-helical elements and three loops (D, anti-codon, and T loops). Lineage: Bacteria; Pseudomonadati; Spirochaetota; Spirochaetia; Spirochaetales; Spirochaetaceae. The record is from RNAcentral.